This 498-nucleotide ribosomal RNA is filed under the name uncultured bacterium. RNAcentral describes it as "partial 16S ribosomal RNA". It matches the Rfam family "Bacterial small subunit ribosomal RNA", at positions 899 to 1397 of the family's 1533-position model. The record is from RNAcentral.
ACUCAAAUGAAUUGACGGGGGCCCGCACAAGCGGUGGAGUAUGUGGUUUAAUUCGAUGCAACGCGAAGAACCUUACCGGGGUUUGACAUGCACAGGACAGGUGUAGAAAUACACCCUCCCUUCGGGGUCUGUGCACAGAUGCUGCAUGGCUGUCGUCAGCUCGUGUCGUGAGAUGUUGGGUUAAGUCCCGCAACGAGCGCAACCCUCGUCCCUAGUUGCCAGCGGGUAAUGCCGGGCACUCUAGGGAGACUGCCGGUGGCAAGCCGGAGGAAGGUGGGGAUGACGUCAAGUCCUCAUGGCUCUUACGCCCCGGGCUACACACGUACUACAAUGGCCGGUACAAAGGGUUGCAAUGCCGCGAGGUGGAGCCAAUCCCAAAAAACCGGUCUCAGUUCGGAUCGCAGUCUGCAACUCGACUGCGUGAAGUCGGAAUCGCUAGUAAUCGCGGAUCAGCAAGCCGCGGUGAAUACGUUCCCGGGCCUUGUACACACCGCCCGU